RNAcentral lists this ribosomal RNA (497 nucleotides) under uncultured bacterium. RNAcentral's name for it is "partial 16S ribosomal RNA". It matches the Rfam family "Bacterial small subunit ribosomal RNA", at positions 28 to 507 of the family's 1533-position model. The record is from RNAcentral.
GAUGAACGCUGGCGGCGUGCCUAAUACAUGCAAGUCGAGCGAACGGACGAGAAGCUUGCUUCUCUGAUGUUAGCGGCGGACGGGUGAGUAACACGUGGAUAACCUACCUAUAAGACUGGGAUAACUUCGGGAAACCGGAGCUAAUACCGGAUGAUAUUUUGAACCGCAUGGUUCAAAAGGGAAAGACGGUCUUGCUGUCACUUAUAGAUGGAUCCGCGCUGCAUUAGCUAGUUGGUAAGGUAACGGCUUACCAAGGCAACGAUGCAUAGCCGACCUGAGAGGGUGAUCGGCCACACUGGAACUGAGACACGGUCCAGACUCCUACGGGAGGCAGCAGUAGGGAAUCUUCCGCAAUGGGCGAAAGCCUGACGGAGCAACGCCGCGUGAGUGAUGAAGGUCUUCGGAUCGUAAAACUCUGUUAUUAGGGAAGAACAUAUGUGUAAGUAACUGUGCACAUCUUGACGGUACCUAAUCAGAAAGCCACGGCUAACUACGUG